This is a long non-coding RNA of Gordionus sp. m RMFG-2023, 308 nucleotides long. RefSeq lists it as uncharacterized. The transcript is spliced from 3 exons. Lineage: Eukaryota; Metazoa; Nematomorpha; Gordioida; Chordodea; Parachordodidae. The record is from RefSeq and is a predicted model, not a curated record.
AUCAACUCAAGGAGUGAGCAUUCAAAUUACAGGGAACACUUUAAACCUCCAUUAGUUGCCUAGAGACGUUUCCAUUUAUCCCGUAUUGAGAUAGAAGAUGGGUUAGGAAAGUUACACCACUAUGUCCCAUCUCGACUUUAAAAACGCCACGGACAAAACUGAAAAUAAUUUGGAUCGACACUAACAUCGCUACAUUAAAUCUAAUAUAUUUGUGGCUCCUUAUUCCUAUCAGACAAAAUAUCAGUCCACUAAUAUUAGCAAAUUGCGGGAAUACUAUCCUAAAUGUUUUUUGUUCAUCAGUGGGCAUU